CAGCAGCCGCGGUAAUACCGGCGGCCCGAGUGGCGGUCACUAUUAUUGGGCUUAAAGCGUCCGUAGCCGGGGUGGGAAGUCCUCCGGGAAAUCUGGCCGCUUAACGGUCAGAAUGCCGGAGGAUACUCCCAGCCUAGGGAGCGGGAGAGGCCGAGGGGAUUCCCGGAGUAGGGGUGAAAUCCUAUAAUCCCGGGAGGACCACCUGUGGCGAAGGCGCUCGGCUGGAACGGGUCCGACGGUGAGGGACGAAGGCCAGGGGAGCAAACCGGAUUAGAUACCCGGGUAGUCCUGGCUGUAAACGAUGCGGACUUUGUGUCGGACAAGCUAUGAGCUUGUCCGGUGCCGGAGGGAAACCGUUAAGUCCGCCGCCUGGGGAGUACGGCCGCAAGGCUGAAACUUAAAGGAAUUGGCGGG
This 414-nucleotide ribosomal RNA is filed under the name uncultured microorganism. RNAcentral's name for it is "bacterial SSU rRNA". It matches the Rfam family "Archaeal small subunit ribosomal RNA", at positions 459 to 872 of the family's 1478-position model. The record is from RNAcentral.